RNAcentral lists this ribosomal RNA (504 nucleotides) under uncultured bacterium. Its description in RNAcentral is "partial 16S ribosomal RNA". It matches the Rfam family "Bacterial small subunit ribosomal RNA", at positions 29 to 523 of the family's 1533-position model. The record is from RNAcentral.
AUUGAACGCUGGCGGCAUGCCUUACACAUGCAAGUCGAACGGCAGCAUAGAGAGCUUGCUCUCUGGUGGCGAGUGGCGAACGGGUGAGUAAAGCAUCGGAACGUACCGUGUAGUGGGGGAUAACGUAGCGAAAGUUACGCUAAUACCGCAUACGCACUGAGGUGGAAAGCAGGGGAUCGCAAGACCUUGCGCUAUACGAGCGGCCGAUGUCAGAUUAGCUAGUUGGUAGGGUAAAGGCCUACCAAGGCGACGAUCUGUAGCGGGUCUGAGAGGAUGAGCCGCCACACGGGGACUGAGACACGGCCCAGACUCCUACGGGAGGCAGCAGUGGGGAAUUUUGGACAAUGGGGGCAACCCUGAUCCAGCCAUGCCGCGUGAGUGAAGAAGGCCUUCGGGUUGUAAAGCUCUUUCGGCCGGGAAGAAAUCGCACAGGCUAAUACUCUGUGUGGAUGACGGUACCGGCAUAAGAAGCACCGGCUAACUACGUGCCAGCAGCCGCCGUAA